UGGUGGUGGUGUGGUGACGUUGUGCUCUCUGGAGUGGGAGGCUGUUGGUUCAAACCCAGCUUGGGUGCAGUGUGCUGGAUGGUGAAAUGUAGAAUGGGGAGUUAAUGUGUCUCACUUUUUUGACCUGGAAGUGUGAUGCUUAGUUCAUGGUUACAUAAAUGAAGGUGAAAAGGUCUAUAAAACAGGCUUCUUGUACGAGAUCCUGUAGCUCAUGUGGAUGAGCAUCACCCUCUGGUUUGAGUGGUUGCUGGUUCAAACCCCAGCCAGGAUGAAGGGAUAAGAGCGUGGCAGGUUCAGGAAUCAGUGGAAGGCUGAUUGAUGUGGAAGGUGCAGGAUGGCCGGAGGGCGUGACCAAGGGGGGUAAUAUCCGGGCAUCUGCCCCCCGAGGACCAGCAGUGGACAGUAAGAGGGUUAUGGAACCUGAAGAGAGGGGUUGGACUUAGUUUUGCAUUAUAUAAAAUUCUGUAAAAACCUAUGUCCAACCUUUCUCUUCAAGUUUCAUAACCUCUUUCUGCUCCUCCUCUGUGGGGAGCUGCCCUGCUACUCACCCACAACCAGCUCACACCAUCCAUCCAUCCAUCCAUCCCCACAUCACCCAGCCUUCCACUGCUUCCUGGACCAUCUACACCCAUAUCCUUGAAUCCUGGCUGGGGUUUGAACCAGCAAUCUCUCAACCCAGCCGGCGAUGCUCAUCCACAUGAGCUACAGGAUCUCGUACAAGGAGCUUGUUUUAUAGACCUUUUCACCUUCAUAUACGUAACCCUGCCCUAAAGGGGAAACAGCACAGACGUGAACCAAAC
Long non-coding RNA from Ictalurus punctatus (channel catfish), 800 nucleotides. The record is from Ensembl. Lineage: Eukaryota; Metazoa; Chordata; Actinopteri; Siluriformes; Ictaluridae.